AAAGAAUUAGUUAAAAUAUAACAUUAGAAUGUCAAACUGAAAUUAUUAAUUUUAUUAAUAUUCUUUA
Molecule: transfer RNA, 67 nt
Filed under: Caraboidea sp. KM-2017
Lineage: Eukaryota; Metazoa; Arthropoda; Insecta; Coleoptera
Description: tRNA-Asp
Source: RNAcentral